GUAGGUGGCAAGCGUUGUCCGGAAUUAUUGGGCGUAAAGCGCGCGCAGGUGGUUCUUUAAGUCUGAUGUGAAAGCCCCCGGGCUCAACCGGGGAGGGUCAUUGGAAACUGGGGAACUUGAGUGCAGGAGAGGAAAGUGGAAUUCCACGUGUAGCGGUGAAAUGCGUAGAUAUGUGGAGGAACACCAGUGGCGAAGGCGACUUUCUGGCCUGUAACUGACACUGAGGCGCGAAAGCGUGGGGAGCAAACAGGAUUAGAUACCCUGGUAGUCCACGCCGUAAACGAUGAGUGCUAAGUGUUGGGGGGUUUCCGCCCCUCAGUGCUGCAGCUAACGCAUUAAGCACUCCGCCUGGGGAGUACGGUCGCAGGACUG
This 372-nucleotide ribosomal RNA is filed under the name uncultured organism. RNAcentral's name for it is "partial 16S ribosomal RNA". It matches the Rfam family "Bacterial small subunit ribosomal RNA", at positions 527 to 896 of the family's 1533-position model. The record is from RNAcentral.